UACGUAGGGUGCGAGCGUUAAUCGGAAUUACUGGGCGUAAAGCGUGCGCAGGCGGUUUUGUAAGCCAGGUGUGAAAUCCCCGGGCUCAACCUGGGAAUGGCAUUUGGGACUGCAAGGCUGGAGUGCGGCAGAGGAGACUGGAAUUCCGGGUGUAGCGGUGGAAUGCGUAGAGAUCCGGAAGAACACCGGUGGCGAAGGCGGUCUGCUGGGCAGUAGCUGACGCUGAUGCGCGACAGCGUGGGGAGCAAACAGG
This 253-nucleotide ribosomal RNA is filed under the name uncultured bacterium. RNAcentral's name for it is "partial 16S ribosomal RNA". It matches the Rfam family "Bacterial small subunit ribosomal RNA", at positions 524 to 776 of the family's 1533-position model. The record is from RNAcentral.